CCUACAAGAUUCUGAUUGGGGAAAGGGGNACAAGUGGGUGUUAGAGGCCUCUGUCCACCGUUCUGGGGAUAUGACCCUUUAGGUAAGCAAGACUAAAGGGUCUUAUCCCCCAACACACACACACACACCCAGGCGUUUACUAUCUAGAGAAAGAGACACAACUUAAAAACCACCAAGUCUUACUACCACUUUGAAAAUCCUGUUGUCAAUCUCUGAAGAAGUUCAAGGCCUCUAGGAAUGAGUAUUCCUCAGAUCCACUGGCUAUGUACGCAGAGAAACUAUCACUGUGUAAGAGGACGUGUGCAGUACUUGUAGCAGUAGAAAUGAGGGUGAAUCUCAAAAGUAGGGGUGAGGGGGAGAAUGCAGAUUGCAGAAUGACUUUGUAGUAACAUAAAUUGAGGCAAAACAAUAUGGUAAGUGUAAGAAUAUUUAUACACAUGUAAUAGAACCGCAUUGACAAACAUGGAAAGAUACACACGAAAUUCAAGUAAAAUUUCGGGGUAGGAAGAGAGCAGAAUGGUACGCCUACUUCAGAGUGGGCUUCAAUUGGCAGCGUUUUAUUACUUAAAUUGGGUGAUAAAUAGGUAUAUGUGUGCACAGUGUGGGACUUUUUAAAAAUAUAUUUCUUUGCAUACCUAAAUUAUUUGAUUUUUUAAAACAGUGUGAUUAGUGCCAUAUUAGAAGAAGGACAAUGCUAAAGUAGCAUUUGACAACAUCUAAACUAGCCACCUGGAAAUAUUCCAGGAGGCAUUUACCUUUGUCCUGAGGGUUGUUACCCAGGAGGAAUGAAGAAGUGCAUUUCCAGCAGAAGGAAUAGCCUUUGCAAGAGCUCAGAGAGAACGCAGCUUACAAAGGAGCUGAAAGAAAUACAGUGCAACUGGAAGAGUUCUAUGAAGGGAGUGUCAGGAGGUUAAGUAGACAGUAUAGACUUUUCCCUAGGGACAGUAGAAAGCUGUUGAUGACUUUUAAGGUGGAGAAUGACUUUCAAGAAAGCAAUGAUCAUGAACUCUCUCAGUCUCAAAUUCAAAUUAUUUUUCUCAAGUGAAGCCCCUAUGCCAGAAUGUCAGGGAGAGGUCUAGUUACUCUCUGCCCUACUUUUAGUUUUAGGUAAAGUUAUUGGGGAAGGUCUUAAACAAGGCAAAGAUAGAGAUGAGACCUGAAUGAAGUGUUGAAAAUCCCGGCAGUGGAGGAAUACUGAUGUCUGAGCAUUCUAGCAAAGCCAUUGCUAACCAGUCUACCAACCACUGCUGAUCUGCUCAGCAGUGACCCUCUCUGGCCCAACCCUGGCUUGAACCCACAGGGUCAUUGGGUGGAUAUACUCUAUCAGAGGACAGCUCUUUCAACUUGAUCAACACCCUCUAUACCUUAGAGAAUCCGGAGUGCCUGUCUUAGGGCUGUAUGUGAGCCAUUCCUUCUACCUAGAACACCUUUCUCCACUCAGAUAUUUCAUGGCUCCCUCCCUCUCAGCUACAUCGUUGCCUUGUUUAAGGAGACCGACCCCCCCCCAAUAACUUCACCUAAAACCAAAACAUCCUCCAUCCCACAUCCUACUUCAUCUGCUUUAUUUUCUUCAUUGCACUACUUUCUGAUAUGAUGGUAUACAUCUGUUUCCCUUAUGUAAGAAUGUAAACUCAAUGAAGACAAGUAGUUUGUCCUAAGGGCAAAUCUUCUCCAUAAAAGGUAAUACAUUAAUGAAUAGUUCCAAACUCUUGGACUUAUCCCAACCAAGUUUGUUUCUUUUUUUUAAAACAUCAGAAAUUUAUUAGGUGCCCAAAACAUUACAUUCAUCUUGACAUAUCAUAUAUCAUACAUUUGUUUCAAAUGGGGUAUGAAUUCUUAUGAUUCCCACAUGUACAGAUUGCAGGAUCACAUGGAUUAUACAGCCACGUUUAUACAUACUGCCAUACUAGUGUCUGUUGUAUUCUGCUGCCCUUCCUAUCCUCUUCCUAUCAAGUUUGUUUCUUGCUGGCACUCACACAAGCUCACUCCAAUGCUCCAUUGCAGCAGGAGCUUCCACCAUUACUGCAGCAGUGGGAAGACAAUAUAGCAAAUCUUACACUGAUUAUUAAAGCUCCUGCUCAGAAGAAAUGGAUGUAAACUCCAUCCACAUUUCGUUGGCCAAAACAAGUCAGAUGGCCUCAUAUGGCCAACAGAUGCAGAAAAGAACACUGAGCAAAAUGCAGCACCUAUUCAACCCUCAGCAAAGCAGAAACAGAAGAAGACUUCCUCGGUAUGAUAAAGGACAUCUACAAAAAACUUAGAACAUGAAAGACUGAAUGUUUUCCUUCUAGAAUCACAAGUAAGGCAAGGACAUUUGCCUUUAACACCUCUAUUCAACACUGUACAGGAGGUCCUAGUCAGUGCAAUAAUGCAAAAAAUAAAAAUAAAAAGCAUACAAAUAGGCUCUGUUUGCUGGGCAUUGUGGUGCAUGCCUGUAAUCCCAGGAACUUGGGAGACUGAGGCAGGAGGAUGGCAAGUUUGAGACUAGCCUUGGCAAUUUAGUGAGACCCCAAGCAACGUAGAGAGACCCUGUUUCAAAAUAAAAGGGCCAGGGAUGUGGCUUAAUUAAAAAGCACCCAAAGGUCCAAAUUUAAGAAUAAGGGAAAGGGACUUAAAAAUUAUUAGUCAAUCCAGGUGUGGUGGUGCAUUCCUGUAAUCCCAGUAAUUUAGGGACUGAGGCAGGAAGUUGUUGAGUUCUAGGCAGCCUUCCCAAUGUAGUGAGACUCUGUCUCAAAAUGAAAAAUAAAAAGCCUCUGUAAAGCUCAGGGGAAGAGCACCUUUGGAUCAAUCUUCUGC
This 2796-nucleotide long non-coding RNA is filed under the name Marmota monax (woodchuck). Lineage: Eukaryota; Metazoa; Chordata; Mammalia; Rodentia; Sciuridae. The record is from RNAcentral.